This 489-nucleotide ribosomal RNA is filed under the name uncultured Lachnospiraceae bacterium. RNAcentral's name for it is "bacterial SSU rRNA". It matches the Rfam family "Bacterial small subunit ribosomal RNA", at positions 8 to 507 of the family's 1533-position model. The record is from RNAcentral. Lineage: Bacteria; Bacillati; Bacillota; Clostridia; Lachnospirales; Lachnospiraceae.
AGAGUUUGAUCCUGGCUCAGGAUGAACGCUGGCGGCGUGCUUAACACAUGCAAGUCGAACGGACUCAUAUUGAAACCUAGUGAUUUAUGAGUUAGUGGCGGACGGGUGAGUAACGCGUGGAAAACCUGCCGUAUACUGGGGGAUAACACUUAGAAAUAGGUGCUAAUACCGCAUAAGCGCACAGCUUCGCAUGAAGUGGUGUGAAAAACUCUGGUGGUAUACGAUGGUUCCGCGUCUGAUUAGCUUGUUGGUGGGGUAAUGGCUCACCAAGGCGACGAUCAGUAGCCGGCCUGAGAGGGUGAACGGCCACAUUGGGACUGAGACACGGCCCAAACUCCUACGGGAGGCAGCAGGUGGGGAAUAUUGCACAAUGGGGGAAACCCUGAUGCAGCGACGCCGCGUGAGUGAAGAAGUAUUUCGGUAUGUAAAGCUCUAUCAGCAGGGAAGAAAAUGACGGUACCUGAUUAAGAAGCCCCGGCUAACUACGUG